RNAcentral lists this ribosomal RNA (301 nucleotides) under uncultured bacterium. Its description in RNAcentral is "bacterial SSU rRNA". It matches the Rfam family "Bacterial small subunit ribosomal RNA", at positions 28 to 334 of the family's 1533-position model. The record is from RNAcentral.
GAUUAACGCUGGCGGCAUGCCUAAUACAUGCAAAUCGAACGAAGCCUUUUGGCUUAGUGGUGAACGGGUGAGUAACACGUAUCCAAUCUACCCUUAAGUUUGGGAUAACUAGUCGAAAGAUUAGCUAAUACCGGAUAAUAACAUUCACUUGCAUGAGUGAAUGUGGAAAGUUGCGUUUGCAACGCUUUUGGAUGAGGGUGCGACGUAUCAGAUAGUUGGUGAGGUAAAGGCUCACCAAGCCGACGAUCUUUAGCUGGUCUGAGAGGAUGAUCAGCCACACUGGGACUGAGACACGGCCCAG